This 744-nucleotide long non-coding RNA is filed under the name Nicotiana benthamiana. Its description in RNAcentral is "long non-coding RNA (NBEN_LNC018264)". Lineage: Eukaryota; Viridiplantae; Streptophyta; Magnoliopsida; Solanales; Solanaceae. The record is from RNAcentral.
UUAACAUUUAAUUAUAACCUUAAAAGCGUCGCAGUAAAACCUUUCCUAGCCUUUGUAUUCAUAAUCUUCCACUGUCUUACUAAUCAGCCUUCUUUGCAAUUCAGCUGUUGAUUAUUAACAUCUCUGCCACUGUGGUUUACUUUAACUGGUCAUUUCAUGGCUCUGCCAUCCAAUGUAUAACCUGCCUCAUCAUUAAGUUUCCAAGUUGAGAAUUGUUAGAACCCCGUCUGAAAGUAACAGGUCGGAAAGAUUAGCAUGAUACAGAGAAUAUCAAAAAUUCAUUCAGAGGAAUAGAGUUGAAGAGAUGAUUUCCAAACAAGAAAUGUUGUUGGAAGGGUAAGAAGGAAGGCACCAGGUAGGCACGCUUUAAUAGGAAAACACAUGUAUAUAUCCAUUUGUAUGACUUCUCAACUCAGCAUUAUCUUCUGUCCAAAACUACAAGUAGAGAAGCUGGUAGAAGAAAAACACAGGAUUAAAAAUUGAUCAGACAAAAAACUUUCUGAACAUCUAACAGCAUAGCAGGCCACAACAUUACAGGUUAUCUGGUUCAUAUUAGGAUUAAAAAUUGAUCAGACAAAGAACUUUCUGAACAUGUAACAGUAUAGCAGGCCACAACAUUACAGGUUAUCUGGUUCAUAUUUAUGAAGGAUGUAACUUCUAAAAGAGAAUAAACCCUCCUCCUUUGUCCGGGCUUGGGACCGGCUGUGUUACACGAGAACUCAAGCACAGGCGGAGUUAAAAACU